GACGAACGCUGGCGGCGUGCUUAACACAUGCAAGUCGAACGGAAAGGCCCCUUCGGGGGUACUCGAGUGGCGAACGGGUGAGUAACACGUGAGUAACCUGCCCUUGACUUCGGGAUAACUUCAGGAAACUGGGGCUAAUACCGGAUAGGAAUCCUUGCUGCAUGGUGGGGGUUGGAAAGCUUCGGCGGUUUUGGAUGGACUCGCGGCUUAUCAGCUUGUUGGUGGGGUAGUGGCUUACCAAGGCUUUGACGGGUAGCCGGCCUGAGAGGGCGACCGGCCACAUUGGGACUGAGAUACGGCCCAGACUCCUACGGGAGGCAGCAGUGGGAAAUAUUGCACAAUGGGCGGAAGCCUGAUGCAGCAACGCCGCGUGCGGGAUGACGGCCUUCGGGUUGUAAACCGCUUUCAGCAGGGGCGAAGCUUGUGGUGACGGUACCUGCAGAAGAAACACCGGCUAACUACGU
Molecule: ribosomal RNA, 464 nt
Filed under: uncultured bacterium
Lineage: Bacteria
Description: partial 16S ribosomal RNA
Rfam family: Bacterial small subunit ribosomal RNA
Source: RNAcentral